CUUGCUGCUUUGCCGGCGAGCGGCGGACGGGUGAGUAAUGUCUGGGAAACUGCCUGAUGGAGGGGGAUAACUACUGGAAACGGUAGCUAAUACCGCAUGACCUCGUAAGAGCAAAGUGGGGGACCUUCGGGCCUCACGCCAUCGGAUGUGCCCAGAUGGGAUUAGCUAGUAGGUGGGGUAAUGGCUCACCUAGGCGACGAUCCCUAGCUGGUCUGAGAGGAUGACCAGCCACACUGGAACUGAGACACGGUCCAGACUCC
RNAcentral lists this ribosomal RNA (260 nucleotides) under uncultured Enterobacteriaceae bacterium. RNAcentral's name for it is "partial 16S ribosomal RNA". It matches the Rfam family "Bacterial small subunit ribosomal RNA", at positions 71 to 339 of the family's 1533-position model. Lineage: Bacteria; Pseudomonadati; Pseudomonadota; Gammaproteobacteria; Enterobacterales; Enterobacteriaceae. The record is from RNAcentral.